CCAAAAUAAAAUUCUCUAAAGUUAAAACUUAAAACAUUGUUCUCAAGUAAAACUCAAACUCAAAACACAUUGCUCUCAAUAAAACUAAACAUAAAGCAUUGCUCUUUAAAAAUAAAACUAAGCAUGAAACAUUGCUCUUAAAAAUAAAACUAAACAUGAAAAGAAAAAGAAAAAGAAUAAAAAAAACAAAACAAAGGAAUGUGCUCUGUUUGAAAACAGAGCAUCAACACUCCUCUCUGUUUCUUCUUCCCCGAACCAGCCGAUGGCCUCUUUCCUUCUUCUUCUUUGGACCCGAUCCCAGCCGAGCUCCUCCUUUGGUUCCCACCCCAA
RNAcentral lists this long non-coding RNA (330 nucleotides) under Phoenix dactylifera (date palm). RNAcentral's name for it is "long non-coding RNA (PDAC_LNC008265)". The record is from RNAcentral. Lineage: Eukaryota; Viridiplantae; Streptophyta; Magnoliopsida; Arecales; Arecaceae.